AACCUAUGGUCUUUGUAGGUUCUAUUCAACAACUAGUUUGUUGAAGACAGACACUUACGGAUCAUCCUUCUGGAGGGUACUUCUGCGCUUGAUUGCGUGGUUGUACAAUUCAGAUCAUUUACUGUGAGUAAAUCAGAGUGUUCAAAGCAGGCUUUUACGCUUGUAUGCAUUAGCAUGGAAUAAUAAGAUAGGACUUCAUCUUAUCUUGUUGGCCUAAGAUUGAAGUAAUGAUUAAAAGGGAUAGUUGGGGGUGCUAGUAUUUAACGGUCAGCGGUGAAAUGCGUAGACCCGUUAAAGACUAACUCAUGCGAAAGCAUU
RNAcentral lists this ribosomal RNA (318 nucleotides) under uncultured Vampyrellida. Its description in RNAcentral is "SSU rRNA". It matches the Rfam family "Eukaryotic small subunit ribosomal RNA", at positions 635 to 955 of the family's 1831-position model. Lineage: Eukaryota; Endomyxa; Vampyrellida. The record is from RNAcentral.